RNAcentral lists this ribosomal RNA (249 nucleotides) under Triticum aestivum (bread wheat). RNAcentral's name for it is "partial small subunit ribosomal RNA". Lineage: Eukaryota; Viridiplantae; Streptophyta; Magnoliopsida; Poales; Poaceae. The record is from RNAcentral.
AUGGACAGCACGACGACCUUCUUCGCCUGGUGGUCUCUUGCUGCCGAAACUUCGUCGAGCGGCCUGCGUAAAGGACUCAACUCCAUCGUCGCAUUGACUGCUUGGGCCAUCUGGAAGCAUCGCAACGCCGACAACUUCGACGGCCUCCGCCCCUCCACCGACGAUCUCGUGCUAUCCAUCCAAGAAGAUGCUCGCCUCUGGGCCAAGGCCGGUGCCAAGGGUUUAGCAGCAAUCAUUCAUGUAACAUGA